RNAcentral lists this ribosomal RNA (510 nucleotides) under Chostonectes nebulosus. RNAcentral's name for it is "partial 16S ribosomal RNA". The stretch from base 384 to 510 matches the Rfam family "Bacterial large subunit ribosomal RNA", at positions 2473 to 2600 of the family's 2925-position model. The record is from RNAcentral. Lineage: Eukaryota; Metazoa; Arthropoda; Insecta; Coleoptera; Dytiscidae.
GUCCUUUAGAAUUAUAAUUUGAGGUUUAACCUGCCCCACUGAUAAGUUAAAUGGCCGCAGUAAUUUGACUGUGCAAAGGUAGCAUAAUCAUUAGUUUUUUAAUUAAAAGCUAGAAUGAAUGGUUGGACGAAAUAAAAUCUGUCUCUAAUUAAUAGAUAAAAAUUAAUUUUUAAGUUAAAAAGCUUAAAUUAUUAUAAAAGACGAGAAGACCCUAUAGAUUUUUAUAUUAUAGAUUUUAAUUUUAAUUUAGAAAAUUUUAUUUAUUAUAAUCUAUGGUAUUUUAUUGGGGUAAUAGGGAGAUUAAAUUAAUUCUUUUUUUUAUAAUCAAUAAUUUUUGUUUUUUUGAUCCUUUAUUAAAGAUUAUAAGAUUAAAUUACCUUAGGGAUAACAGCGUAAUUUUUUUGGAGAGUUCUUAUCGAUAAAAAAGUUUGCGACCUCGAUGUUGGAUUAAAAAUUAUUUUAGGUGUAGUAGUUUGAAAAUUUGGUCUGUUCGACCAUUAAAUUUUUACA